Molecule: long non-coding RNA, 490 nt
Organism: Pundamilia nyererei
Lineage: Eukaryota; Metazoa; Chordata; Actinopteri; Cichliformes; Cichlidae
Exons: 3
Source: RefSeq, a predicted model, not a curated record
AUAGCUAAAAGGGAAUCGGCGGCUAGAAAGUGGGUGAUAAGGGUUUUAUAUGCCGGAGCAGCCUCUUUAAAUUUAAGCUCGACGCACAUAAAGGAAGUUCCCAAGUGCGUUUCCAGACUCACAAACCUGUCAGUCCUCCUGUUAAACAACAACUCCAUCACAGGCCUUCCCACUGAGCUGCUCUCCUUACAUCAAGUGGCUUCAAGAACCUUGUCCUCAAUCUGAACCACAACCAGAUUCACAGACUUCCGCCAGGGAUUAAAAGCGUGCUGGACAAUAAGCUGGAGGAAGUUCCUGCAAAGCUUGGUCAUCUCACUCGCUUGUCUGAGAUAAACCUAAACUUCAACAAGCUGUCCUGGCUUCUUCGGCAGCUGUACCAGUGCAAAGAGCUGACAAAGCUGUAUAUGCAGCCAGAAACUACUUGACCAGCCUACCAGAGGAGGGUUCUCAUAAAAUCCCACACCAGUUACCUGUUGAGUUUUCCAUGUUU